This is a non-coding RNA of Potamilus streckersoni, 81 nucleotides long. NCBI's taxonomy places the organism in Eukaryota, Metazoa, Mollusca, Bivalvia, Unionida, Unionidae. The record is from the annotation of a GenBank genome assembly.
GUGACCGCUCCAGUGGCCUAGUGGUUAAAGUCUCCGCCUUGGAUGCGGGAGGUCUCGGGUUCUAUCCCAGGUCGAGUCACA